This 152-nucleotide ribosomal RNA is filed under the name Hydnotryopsis sp. 'gilkeyae'. RNAcentral's name for it is "Hydnotryopsis gilkeyae 5.8S ribosomal RNA". It matches the Rfam family "5.8S ribosomal RNA". From Rfam's summary of the family: 5.8S ribosomal RNA (5.8S rRNA) is a component of the large subunit of the eukaryotic ribosome. It is transcribed by RNA polymerase I as part of the 45S precursor that also contains 18S and 28S rRNA. Functionally, it is thought that 5.8S rRNA may be involved in ribosome translocation. The record is from RNAcentral. Lineage: Eukaryota; Fungi; Ascomycota; Pezizomycetes; Pezizales; Pezizaceae.
AACUUUCAACAACGGAUCUCUAGGCUCUUGCAUCGAUGAAGAACGCAGUGAAAUGCGAUAAGUAAUGUGAAUUGCAGAAUCUCGUGAAUCAUCGAAUCUUUGAACGCACAUGUGCGCCUUAUGGUAAUCCGUAAGGCAUGCCUGUCUGAACG